Molecule: ribosomal RNA, 253 nt
Filed under: uncultured bacterium
Lineage: Bacteria
Description: partial 16S ribosomal RNA
Rfam family: Bacterial small subunit ribosomal RNA
Source: RNAcentral
UACAGAGGUCUCAAGCGUUGUUCGGAUUCAUUGGGCGUAAAGGGUGUGUAGGUGGCGCCGUAAGUCGGGUGUGAAAUCUCGAGGCUUAACUCCGAAACUGCAUUCGAUACUGCGGUGCUUGAGGACUGGAGAGGAGACUGGAAUUCAUGGUGUAGCAGUGAAAUGCGUAGAGAUCAUGAGGAAGACCAGUGGCGAAGGCGGGUCUCUGGACAGUUCCUGACACUGAGACACGAAGGCCAGGGGAGCAAACGGG